UCCCACUAGCAUCACCAGUAAGGUGGAGUAG
Molecule: non-coding RNA, 31 nt
Filed under: Rattus norvegicus (Norway rat)
Lineage: Eukaryota; Metazoa; Chordata; Mammalia; Rodentia; Muridae
Source: RNAcentral